This 381-nucleotide ribosomal RNA is filed under the name uncultured soil bacterium. RNAcentral describes it as "bacterial SSU rRNA". It matches the Rfam family "Bacterial small subunit ribosomal RNA", at positions 26 to 433 of the family's 1533-position model. The record is from RNAcentral.
AGGAUAAACGUUGGCGGCGUGCCUAAUGCAUGCAAGUCGCACGAGGGCUUCGGCCCUAGUGGCGGACGGGUGAGUAACACGUACGAAUCUGCCCGGAGGUGGGGGACAACUUCCCGAAAGGGAAGCUAAUACCGCAUACGGUCUACGGACCAAAGCCGAAAGGCGCCACCGGAGGAGCGUGCGGCGGAUUAGCUUGUUGGUGAGGUAACGGCUCACCAAGGCGACGAUCCGUAGCUGGUCUGAGAGGACGAUCAGCCACACUGGGACUGAGACACGGCCCAGACUCCUACGGGAGGCAGCAGUGGGGAAUCUUGCCCAAUGGGCGAAAGCCUGAGGCAGCGACGCCGCGUGCGGGAAGAAGGCCUUCGGGUUGUAAACCGC